AUUGCAGACACAAGGUCCUUAGCACCAAUUAUUCUCUAUAUCUGUUUAUUCCUAUGCACCAGCUACUUACAAAUAUGGUUUAAGCCAAAGAGGAACAUUGAAGGAUGCUAUAAAAAAAGUAGCUGAAGGAACUAUAUUUCCGCAGGCACAUUAUUACUUAUCAUUUGCACUGCAGCACUAUGUAACAUCCCUAAAUCCCCCAUUGUGCAAGGUGUUAGAUACUAACACAGAACAAGAAGAUGGUUCCUUCCCCUGAAGAAUUAAAACCUGGAAAUAUUUUGGGAUGGAGCUUUACCUCACAAUCCAGCCUGACAUGUUCCCAGGUGCUGUUCUGGCACGAGAAAGCUGUAAAAUCAGUCAUGCAACUUAGCUCUGGGAAGGAGGUGGGACCAGGAAGAGGAGUGUAAAAUUUCACAAUGUUCACUUUUCCUUGUGUCUUCACUGGGUUGAAAUGGAUGGAAAAAAGCCAAUAGCCAGCAGAAAGUGGAGGCUGGGGGAAUACAGUACUGAACCGAUAUCCUGGAGAUUUAUGACCUUCCUGGGACACUGUGAAGAAUAAGAGAGAUUGACAGGAAAAUGUCUUCAGAGCAAACGCACGCCAGAUGGAAUGAAAACGGUUUAUUGGAGUAUGGAGGUGCUGCUGAACUGAAUAGAGGGCGGGUUUAAGGGAAAAUGCCUGACUGCAUUGCACUUUUACAAGGCCCAAAACUCUUGAGCCAACUACAGUGAAAUGGUGAACAAAAACCAAUGUAAUACAGCAGGAUGUUCCUUCACAGUAUUUUAGAAAAAUAAAAAAAAAGAAAUAAAGAAAAAGAAAAAAACUUUGUGCAUGUGAA
Haemorhous mexicanus (house finch) is the source of this 836-nucleotide long non-coding RNA. RefSeq lists it as uncharacterized. The transcript is spliced from 3 exons. NCBI's taxonomy places the organism in Eukaryota, Metazoa, Chordata, Aves, Passeriformes, Fringillidae. The record is from RefSeq and is a predicted model, not a curated record.